Dioscorea cayenensis subsp. rotundata (Guinea yam) is the source of this 107-nucleotide small nucleolar RNA. The record is from RefSeq and is a predicted model, not a curated record. Lineage: Eukaryota; Viridiplantae; Streptophyta; Magnoliopsida; Dioscoreales; Dioscoreaceae.
AAACCAUGAUGAGGGUAUUUUUUUAGAAGGUCCUUGAACCUUUCAUGUGCUUUCAAAAGUGUUUCAGAGUCAUCUUGCCUGAACACUGAAAUCUCUUAUCUUGGUAU